UACAGGGGGUGCAGACGUUGCUCGGAAUCAUUGGGCGUAAAGCGCACGUAGGCGGUUCGUUAUGUCGGAUGUGAAAGCCCUUGGCUUAACCGAGGAAGUGCAUCCGAAACUGGCGAGCUAGAGUACGAAAGAGGAUCGCGGAAUUCCCGGUGUAGAGGUGAAAUUCGUAGAUAUCGGGAGGAACACCGGUGGCGAAGGCGGCGAUCUGGGUCGAUACUGACGCUGAGGUGCGAAAGCGUGGGGAGCAAACAGG
RNAcentral lists this ribosomal RNA (253 nucleotides) under uncultured bacterium. RNAcentral's name for it is "partial 16S ribosomal RNA". It matches the Rfam family "Bacterial small subunit ribosomal RNA", at positions 524 to 776 of the family's 1533-position model. The record is from RNAcentral.